This is a long non-coding RNA of Rhopalosiphum padi (bird cherry-oat aphid), 537 nucleotides long. RefSeq lists it as uncharacterized. The transcript has 3 exons. The record is from RefSeq and is a predicted model, not a curated record. Lineage: Eukaryota; Metazoa; Arthropoda; Insecta; Hemiptera; Aphididae.
UGUAUCACACGAUCUUCAGCGCCGACCGGCGCGGAACGCUCCACUAAACCUAAGUAUAGCCAAUAGCCAUUGGUUAUAAAUACUACUAAUACUAGUAUUUAUAACCAAUGGUAUAGCUAUGGAAUUGAACUCGCCAUCCCAAAAGCACUGACUGUUCCCGUUUGUACACGCAGUCUGCAGCCGUCACCGUCAUUGCUAUAUUCCUAAUUAUUCUGAAACACUAGCCGUAGGUAGGUAUCGAGGCACGAGAUCACUAAGACGGAAAAUUAAGUGGUCCAUCUGAUCACCGACGCCAUGGCAGUAUAGCAGAUCACUCAAGGCUUGCUGAGACAUGACUUCGCAUUCAUACCACUUGGGAAAGUUACAUUGAAAAUUAACUGGAAGAUACUGAUAAUUAUAUAGGUUUUAUGCAAUAUGGCAGUACAUAGAUCACUCGAUGCAUGCUGAGACAUGAAUUCACAUUUCUACCACUUCGGAAAGUAUCAAUAUCCUACAUGUAAAAUGGACUAGAAGAUACUGAAAAUAUUAAUGGUUUUA